RNAcentral lists this ribosomal RNA (618 nucleotides) under Blastocystis sp. RNAcentral's name for it is "SSU rRNA". It matches the Rfam family "Eukaryotic small subunit ribosomal RNA", at positions 1 to 629 of the family's 1831-position model. The record is from RNAcentral. Lineage: Eukaryota; Bigyra; Opalinata; Blastocystidae.
AUCUGGUUGAUCCUGCCAGUAGUCAUACGCUUGUUUCAAAGAAUAAGCCAUGCAUGUGUAAGUAUAAAUAAUUUUACUUUGAAACUGCGAAUGGCUCAUUAUAUCAGUUAUAGUUUAUUAGAAAUACUUUACUACUUGGAUAACCGUAGUAAUUCUAGGGCUAAUACAUGAAUAAAUCCUCAACUUCGGAAGAGGUGUGUUUAUUAGUAUGAAAACCAUAUAUCUUCGGAUAUAAUAGUGAGUAAUAAUAACCUUUCAUAUCGUAUGUCGUAAGAUAACGAUAGUUCUUUCAAGUUUCUGCCCUAUCAGCUUUCGAUGGUAGUAUAUGGGACUACCAUGGCAGUAACGGGUAACGAAGAAUUUGGGUUCGAUUUCGGAGAGGGAGCCUGAGAGAUGGCUACCACAUCCAAGGAAGGCAGCAGGCGCGUAAAUUACCCAAUCCUGACAUAGGGAGGUAGUGACAAUAAAUCACAAUGCGGAACUAUUUAGUUUUGCAAUUGGAUUGAGAACAAUGUACAAAUGUUAUCGAUAAACAAUUGGAGGGCAAGUCUGGUGCCAGCAGCCGCGGUAAUUCCAGCUCCAAUACCGUAUAUUAACGUUGUUGCAGUUAAAAAGCUC